UGAAAUUGGUUAAGUAUAUUGUUACUUUGUUCAAUGCGACCAUUGAUACAUGUUUAUUUGCAUAUUCUCCCUAUUUACCAAUCCCCUUCUAGAGCGAGACACCGUUUUAAAAUUAAAAUGUGGUGCUUCUCAUUUCGCUCACUUUUAAGUCAUAUUUUCACAUCUCCACCGUUCAGUGUCUAGAACAUAGUGUGUAGAUCAUUCCUGCAAAGUUUCAUCCAAUUUGGAGAUCAUUUGAGCUUCCGUAAUUGUGAUUUACACGAACGGUUCCGUUUAGACAGAUUUUGUUCAAUUGAUUCAUUUAAUCUAAUUCGGUACCCAAAUGAUCUCCAAAUUGGAUGAAAUUUUACAGGAAUGAUCUACACACUAUGUUCUAGACACUGAACGGUUGAGAUGUGAAAAUGUGACCUAAAAGUGAGUGAAAUAAGGAGCACCACACUUUAAUUUCAAAGCGGUGUCCUGCUCUGGAAGAAAACUGCCCUAUUUACAUGGUCAACUUUAACUAAAUAA
RNAcentral lists this long non-coding RNA (510 nucleotides) under Fragaria vesca (wild strawberry). RNAcentral's name for it is "long non-coding RNA (FVES_LNC004225)". Lineage: Eukaryota; Viridiplantae; Streptophyta; Magnoliopsida; Rosales; Rosaceae. The record is from RNAcentral.